CCUUGGACUGCUUUCGGCGGUUCAGUUUUAUCUCCUCGCUCUCACUUCUUGAUCAGACAAGACUCUCUCUUUCUUUCUGGUGACAAAAUGGCUUCGGUGCAAGCUACUAGUUUGGCCUCAGCUUUGUGCAAAAAUGGCACCCAGAAGUUUCCGAGCAGCUCCUUCUCGCCGAGGUUUGAUGUUGUGGCUGGGCGUGGAUUUAUUAAGAAAGAAACGCUGCCUCGUUCUUUGGUUUCAUCUGUUCCCAGAGCGACGUUAACCUUUGAUCCUCCAACAACCAAUUCAGAUAAAACUAAGCAGAGGAAGCAUACUGUUGAUCCUUCUUCUCCUGAUUUCCUUCCUCUUCCCUCCUUCGAACAGUGUUUUCCAAGGAGUACCAAAGAACACAGGGAAAUUGUUCACGAACAAUCUGGUCAUGUUCUCAAAGUUCCUUUCAGACUGGUCCACUUGUCUGGGGAUGAACCCAGUUUUGAUAAUUAUGAUACCAGUGGUCCUCAAAACAUUAGUCCCCGAAUAGGACUUCCUAAACUGCGCAAAGACUGGGUUGAUAGGCGGGAGAAGCUAGGCUCACCAAGGUACACUCAGAUGUACUAUGCGAAGCAAGGAAUAAUAACUGAGGAAAUGUUGUAUUGUGCUGCUCGUGAGAAACUUGACCCAGAGUUCGUGAGGUCAGAGGUUGCACGUGGACGGGCAAUAAUCCCUUCCAACAAGAAGCACCUAGAGUUAGAGCCAAUGAUAGUUGGAAGAAAUUUUUUGGUCAAAGUCAAUGCAAAUAUUGGAAAUUCUGCUGUUGCAAGCUCUAUUGAGGAUGAAGUUUAUAAGGUUCAAUGGGCAACCAUGUGGGGUGCUGACACUGUCAUGGACCUCUCAACAGGUCGCCACAUCCAUGAGACCCGUGAAUGGAUCUUACGAAACUCUGCUGUACCAGUUGGAACUGUGCCCAUCUAUCAAGCACUUGAAAAAGUUNNNNNNNNNNAAUCUGAGCUGGGAAGUCUUCAGAGACACAUUGAUUGAACAAGCAGAGCAGGGCGUUGAUUAUUUCACUAUCCAUGCCGGGGUUCUUCUACGAUACAUUCCUUUAACUGCAAAAAGAAUGACGGGAAUUGUUUCUCGUGGAGGAUCAAUUCAUGCAAAGUGGUGUUUGGCUUAUCACAAGGAGAAUUUUGCCUAUGAACACUGGGACGACAUACUUAACAUCUGUAAUCAAUAUGAUGUGGCUCUUUCAAUUGGCGAUGGGCUGAGACCUGGGUCCAUAUAUGAUGCAAAUGAUACUGCUCAGUUUGCAGAGCUCUUGACUCAAGGGGAACUAACCCGUAGGGCGUGGGAGAAGGAUGUGCAGGUGAUGAAUGAAGGACCUGGCCAUAUUCCUAUGCACAAAAUCCCUGAAAACAUGCAAAAACAGCUAGAGUGGUGCAANNNNNNUGAAGCACCUUUCUACACUCUUGGACCCCUGACAACUGAUAUUGCUCCUGGAUAUGAUCACAUUACCUCUGCCAUUGGUGCUGCCAACAUUGGUGCUCUUGGCACUGCACUACUCUGUUAUGUCACGCCAAAGGAGCAUCUUGGAUUGCCAAAUAGGGAUGAUGUGAAGGCGGGGGUUAUAGCAUAUAAGAUAUCUGCACAUGCAGCCGAUUUAGCAAAAGGUCACCCUCAUGCUCAAGCCUGGGAUGAUGCAUUAAGCAAGGCCCGAUUUGAGUUCAGAUGGAUGGACCAAUUUGCUUUAUCCUUGGACCCCAUGACUGCAAUGUCCUUCCAUGAUGAAACCCUGCCAUCAGAAGGUGC
This 1782-nucleotide unclassified non-coding RNA is filed under the name Hevea brasiliensis (rubber tree). The record is from RNAcentral. Lineage: Eukaryota; Viridiplantae; Streptophyta; Magnoliopsida; Malpighiales; Euphorbiaceae.